CAUCUGGGUUCUCCACUCAGCUGUAGAGCCCUUCUAUUGAGUUUUUAAUUUGGUUAUUAUAAUUUCUAUUUGGCUCUUGCUUACACCUUCUAUUUCUCUGUUGAGCUGCUCUAUUUUAUUCAUUAUCAGAGUGCUUAUAAUCAAUGAGGCAUUUUUAUGAUGUUCGCUUCACGUCUGUGAGAAUUCUAUUACUGAUGGUAUCUUGAUAUUGUCCUCUAUUGAUUGUUUCAUUCAGUUUGAGAUCUACCUGGUUCUUGAUAUAAUGAGUAAUUUGUUACUGCAACCUGGAACUUUGUGGUAUUAUAUUAUGAGAUUUUGGUACUUAUUUAAAUUUUCUGUUUUAGGUGGCUUCAUCUCACACUACCCCAGAAGUGGAAGGGAGGGUGCUUCCUCUCUGCUGCCAGGUGGGAAGAGCAGGCACGUGUCACUGAACCUUCCGAGUUGGCCCCAAGGAGGGCCACCUGCCUGGUGUUGUUUGAGUCAACAGAACGAGACUGAGUCAGAUUCGGAAGCAAAGGAAAGCUUUAUUCCCUGAUCAGAGAACAGAGAGGUGUGAGGUCCUGGUCCAGAGCACAGGCUCUCCUGUAGGCUGUGGGCAGGGCUGCUUUAUAGGGUCCCGGUCAGCAAUGAGGGGGUAGGGCUCUUUGCACACAGCUCUGAGCCCAGGUGUAAGUGCAGCCACUACCCAUCAGGAACCCUGGUCUGAAGUGCCAGGUUCGAGGUCUCUGCCCGUGGCUGCCUGUGAGCCAGCGACACUAGACUCAGCACUGAGGAAAAGAAGAAAAGGAGGGGUGAGGCUACAUAUGCGUCUCCCGUCUCCUAAGGUGGGCUUCCCUGACCUUCUGUUGAGAAUGCUGCCAGGGAAUCUUCCCAAUCCACAAAUCAAACCCAUAUCUCCUACACUGAAGGCAUAUGCUUUACCACUGAGCCAUCUGAGAAGCCCCCUUAUAUGUGAGAGUUGGACUGUGAAGAAGGCUGAGCACUGAAGAAUUGAUGCUUUUGAACUGUGGUGUUGGAGAAGACUCUUGAGAGUCCCUUGGACUGCAAGGAGAUCCAACCAGUCCAUUCUGAAGGAGAUCAGCCCUGAGUGUUCUUUGGAAGGAAUGAUGCUAAAGCUGAAACUCCAGUACUUUGGCCACCUCAUGUGAAGAGUUGACUAAUUGGAAAAGACUCUGAUGCUGGGAGGGAUUGGGGGCAGGAGGAAAAGGGGACAACAGAAGAUGAGAUGGCUGGAUGGCAUCACUGACUCGAUGGAUGUGAGUCUGAGUGAACUCUGGGAGUUGGUGAUGGACAGGGAGGCCUGGUGUGCUGUGAUUCAUGGGGUCGCAAAGAGUCGGACACGACUGAGCGACUGAACUGAACUGAACCUUCAUUUUUACCGAGACUUUUUAGUUAAAAUAGGUGAAGCACUCUCUACUUGGUUUAUGUGACAUUUACCAGUGCUCAUUUAUUUAUGUGAAUUCAAAUUACCCUCUGGGGUCACUGCUUUUGGUGAAAAAAUUAUACUGUGUGCACCAAAAACAAACUCAAUUUUUUUUUUUGAGUUACUUGAAAAUUUUUAUUUGGGCCAAGAUUUAUAUCCUCCGACCAUCCUAAGUUUUUGUUUAUUGGGUAAUGUCUUUGUUUUGUCUUCUUUUUUUUUGUUUGUUUUUUAAAAGAUAGCUUUGCUAUAUCAGAUUCUUGAUUGACAGGUUUUUUUUUUUUCCUUUGGAUUAUGUUAUCCCAUUGCUUUUUGCCCUCUACUGUUGCUGAUGAGAAGUCAAUUGCUAAUCUUUAUUGAAUUUCUUACAAAUGGAAAGUCUUUUUUCUCUUGCCACCUCAAGAUCUUCACCUUGUAUUUGCCUUUCAGCCUUUUUUGUCAAACUGUCACAUGUCUAUCUGUGGAUUUCUUUGUGGAAUUUGUGGAGCUUUCUGAAUGUGUAGAUUAGUGUUUUCAAUAAAUUAGGAAUGAUUUCAACCAUUGUAUCUUCACAUAUGUUUUCUUUCUCCUUUUCUGAUAUUUCUCUUACAUGUAUCUUGAUGUACUUAAUGGCACUCCACAUUUCUUGAGGCUCUGUUCAUUUUUCUUCAUUCUUUUUUUCUUUGUUCUUUGGCUUGCAAAGUCUCUGUCAACUUCAGGUUUGUAAAUUGUUCUGCAAGAAUUUGGGCCUCUCUAGUUAAUUUUUCAUUUCAAUUGUACUUUUUAAGUCCAGAAUUUUUAUUUGGUUCUUUAAAAGUUUGUAUGUCUUUAUUGGUACGAGCUAUUUGAUGUAACAUUGUCAGCAUACUUUCCUUUAUUUUGUAAACCAUGGUUUCCACUAGUUAUUUGAACAUACUGUGUUUAUAACUACUUGAAGUCUCCAUUAACUGUUAAAUCCAACAUCUGGUCACUCUCACAGGCAAUUUGUGUUGUCGGCUUCCCCCACCCACCCCCCCACCCCCCCCCCCGAUGUGUAAGUCAUGUUUUUCUGUUUCUUUGUAUGUCUCAUACAUUUUGUUGGAAACUGGACAUUUUAGAUAGUUUAGGAUAGAAAUUCUGGGUUGUGGUCCCCGCUUCCAUUUACUUGAUUGCUUAAGUGAAAGUGAAGUGAAGUCACUCAGUCGUGUCCGACUCUUUGCGACCCCGUGGCCUGUAGCCCACCAGGCUCCUCCAUCCAUGGAAUUCUCCAGGCAAGAAUACUGGAGUGGGUUGCCAUUUCCUUCUCCAUUGCUUGUUUAGUGACUUUUAUUUCAGUGAAGUCUAUUUUACACAAACACAUGGAGUGUUAAACCUUUGAUGUUGCUUCUCAACCAAUGGUGUGCAGCCUUGAGUGUGCCCAGCUGCCCUGGAUGACAGUGCAUUGGCAGGGCUUCUUUUUGGCGGUCUUUUCCCCUGAUUGCACCUAGCUGUUAAGCUCCACAACUUGUAGGAUAAUUGCUCUAUUGUUUUCAACAAUGCUCUAAGGCAUCGGUUGUUCCAGAGACUAAACCAAAUAGUUCCUGAGAUCAGUGUUUGAUAUUUGUUAUUAUCCUAGGAGAGCUACUCCCAGCGCCCCGCUCCCACCCCAAGUUCUCUACAGCAAACUAAGAGUCUUCAGUUUAGCCUCUGUCUUCAACAAAUCUACCAAUAUCCUCUUAUUUCUCACCACAAUCUCCAGUUUUUGAAUGCAUCAUUACGCGCGAACUUCUCCAUGUUCUUUGGCAAACAAAGUCAGUUUCUCUGGGAAGAGGCUAGGAGCUAUCUGUUUAUAGCCUGCUUCCUCCUCCAGAAAAAUCUCUGAGCCAGGGUUCUGGAACUGGGAAGUGGUAUAUGGACAGUGA
Bos taurus (domestic cattle) is the source of this 3279-nucleotide long non-coding RNA. Lineage: Eukaryota; Metazoa; Chordata; Mammalia; Artiodactyla; Bovidae. The record is from Ensembl.